UGGGGAAUUUUGGGCAAUGGGCGAAAGCCUGACCCAGCAACGCCGCGUGAAGGAUGAAGUAUUUCGGUAUGUAAACUUCGAAAGAAUAGGAAGAAUAAAUGACGGUACUAUUUAUAAGGUCCGGCUAACUCCGUGCCAGCAGCCGCGGUAAUACGGGGGGUGCAAGCGUUAAUCGGAAUUAUUGGGCGUAAAGGGUGCGUAGGUUGUUUGAUAAGAUAUAUGUGAAAUACCUGGGCUCAACCUGGGAAGGUCAUAUAAGACUGUCAGACUCGAGUAUGGGAGAGGGUAGAGGAAUUUCCGGUGUAGCGGUGAAAUGCGUAGAUAUCGGAAGGAACAUCGGUGGCGAAGGCGUCUACCUGGCCUAAUACUGACACUGAGGCACGAAAGCGUGGGGAGCAAACAGGAUUAGAUACCCCCGUAGUCCCUGAGCGGGCUGGCAAGGCGCAU
RNAcentral lists this ribosomal RNA (447 nucleotides) under uncultured bacterium. Its description in RNAcentral is "bacterial SSU rRNA". It matches the Rfam family "Bacterial small subunit ribosomal RNA", at positions 355 to 825 of the family's 1533-position model. The record is from RNAcentral.